CCUACGGGAGACAGCAGUGGGGAAUAUUGCACAAUGGGGGAAACCCUGAUGCAGCAACGCCGCGUGAAGGAAGACGGUUUUCGGAUUGUAAACUUCUGUUCUUAGUGAAGAAUAAUGACGGUAGCUAAGGAGCAAGCCACGGCUAACUUCGUGCCAGCAGCCGCGGUAAUACGGAGGAUGCGAGCGUUAUCCGGAUUUAUUGGGUUUAAAGGGUGCGUAGGCGGUAUGUUACGUCAGCGGGAAAAGCCCGGGGCUCAACCCCGGCGAGCCGUUGAAACUGGCUGUCUUGAGAUGUCGAGAGGUAUGCGGAAUGCGCAGUGUAGCGGUGAAAUGCUUAGAUAUUGCGCAGAACUCCGAUUGCGAAGGCAGCAUACCGGCGGCGAUCUGACGCUGAGGCACGAAAGCGUGGGUAUCGAACAGGAUUAGAUACCCGAGUAGUC
This 440-nucleotide ribosomal RNA is filed under the name uncultured bacterium. RNAcentral's name for it is "partial 16S ribosomal RNA". It matches the Rfam family "Bacterial small subunit ribosomal RNA", at positions 338 to 795 of the family's 1533-position model. The record is from RNAcentral.